This 442-nucleotide ribosomal RNA is filed under the name uncultured bacterium. Its description in RNAcentral is "bacterial SSU rRNA". It matches the Rfam family "Bacterial small subunit ribosomal RNA", at positions 954 to 1392 of the family's 1533-position model. The record is from RNAcentral.
GCUAAACGCGAAGAACCUUACCUGGUCUUGACAUCCCAGGAAUCCUGCAGAGAUGCGGGAGUGCCCGAAAGGGAAUUGGAACACAGGUGCUGCAUGGCUGUCGUCAGCUCGUGUCGUGAGAUGUUGGGUUAAGUCCCGCAACGAGCGCAACCCUUGUCCUUAGUUGCCAGCGAGUAAUGUCGGGAACUCUAAGGAGACUGCCGGUGACAAACCGGAGGAAGGUGGGGAUGACGUCAAGUCCUCAUGGCCCUUACGGCCAGGGCUACACACGUACUACAAUGGUCGGUACAGAGGGUUGCCAAACCGCAAGGUGGAGCCAAUCCCAGAAAGCCGAUCCCAGUCCGGAUCGGAGUCUGCAACUCGACUCCGUGAAGUCGGAAUCGCUAGUAAUCGCGGAUCAGCUAUGCCGCGGUGAAUACGUUCCCGGGUCUUGUACACACCG